This 51-nucleotide microRNA precursor is filed under the name Monodelphis domestica (gray short-tailed opossum). RNAcentral describes it as "microRNA mdo-mir-7282 precursor". The record is from miRBase by way of RNAcentral. Lineage: Eukaryota; Metazoa; Chordata; Mammalia; Didelphimorphia; Didelphidae.
AAAUUCUGUCGGCAACUCUUUGGAGGUUUCUCCAUGUUGCUGUGGAUUGGA